Molecule: long non-coding RNA, 2334 nt
Organism: Papilio xuthus (Asian swallowtail)
Lineage: Eukaryota; Metazoa; Arthropoda; Insecta; Lepidoptera; Papilionidae
Exons: 2
Source: RefSeq, a predicted model, not a curated record
UAACGGAAUGCAUCGCUUGGGAAAUUAUAAAGUAGUGCUAUUCCCCUUGAGCGUAACUAAAAAAAUAUAACGUAUGAGUACUUAACUAAUUAAUUCUGUAGGAUGGGCGUCGCCGGGGGAUUAAAAAAUGUAAAAUAGAUAUCAAAACUACUUCGAACAAGACCAUAACAAUAGUAGCUGCUCCACCUAGAACUAGCCUAGACUGGCUGGCGACUCACGUGUUUUGUAGCAAAAUAUUUUCAUUAAAAGUAAUAGAAACAUCUUGGGUUUUCUUUUCCGAAAACUCAUUUUGAACUUGAUCCCAACUAAUUAGAGUAAUAUUGUCUUUAAAUCUUAGUAUAUUGCAGACCUAAAUUAAAAAUAGAGCAAACGUAAAAAUGUCCAAUUCAAUCAGCUGAGUUUGAUGUUUACAUGAAAAUAAAUAUAGCACGUAUCUCGCAUGGUACGUUUUUGUAUAUGUAAUGACGCAUCACGGCUCAAUGAUGUCAUGGGGCUGUGGAGGACAGCUAGGAUACACUGACAUCACUCGCAAACGUAGCUUCAUUGUAUUUACCUAUUUGAAGGCACAUCUAGCAACAAACAUUGCAUUGAUUUAAGAUUUUCAUAGAACGAUGCGAAAGCGAUUAUAUAAUAAACCAUAAGACAUAUCUCAGAACAUAUCGAGAUGACUAACGACAACAUAACACUCUCGGCUCCUUGAAUUGAAUGAGUCAUGAUACUGCACGACUAGACCCGAACCCCGCGGUUAUCAUAAAUUAUGAAUUGCUCCGAGAAUAAAUGAAUCAAUGUAUUUGUUACUGGUUUCCACUGUCGACACCACAUCGUAUUGCUUUAAUCAUAUAUGAAAAAACAGAGAUCACGACGUACGGGAGCUUCGACAAUGGAUACGCACGGUUACACUAGUAGUUAGGGAAAUAUAUUUUUAAGAUGUAGGAGUAUUCACUUCUGUUGAAUUAAGAAGGCAAAGCCGGAACGGAGCUGGCUAAUCUGAUCCUUUACCUUUUUGCAAUAAUUAAAUAGUUUUACAAAACAUGAGACUGAUAUGUGACGAAGUCAAAAUUUAUUUCAGAUGCCAAAAAUGUGAAGUCCAUAUUAAUUUGAUUAGGACCGAAAUUAGAGUUAAAACUUGCUGCUAUAUUUAAAUCCGUAAACAUAACUGUUCAAACUUACCAAUUGCAGUGACUAACAGAUUUGACUAUAACAAAAUUAACAAAGAAACAAUAACUAAGGCACUGAAUGGAAAGUGCUGGCAGUCUGUAAACAGACUGAUAAAAUUGCAAAGGUGUUUACCUACACAGAUAAACUAGUGCUAUUUUAUGAACAUUGUAAAAUUUUUUAAUAAAUUAAUUAUUGAUAAUUUAGGCAGAUUAUUCAGUUCACUUACACUCAAGAAGCUAUAAAUGACCUGUAGGCAUCCCUUAGCGUAGAUUUAGUAUAACUUAUCUAAGACAAAUUCUUAAGGAACCAUUGCAACCACUCUUGUGAAUAGUUAAAUCAUAUACUAUCUCUGUCUUAUGAAUAGAGUUAUGGAGAUCCCAAAGAUGUAACUCUAUUCUUCGGAGAGGUUAAUCAAGUGACUCUAGAUGCUAGUUCUACUUAUAAAGUAACAUAUUUUCUCUAUUGUCACUUUUAAACUCUUUGUGUAAAGUACUAAAUGAGUCAAUGAUGAUGUAAUUGUGAACAAAGUACAUCAUUAAACUCAUAUUUGUGUUAUCAUUCAAAGUGCUAUAAUAUAUAGUUGAUUAAACUGAUAAGUUAGAGUAUCAUGUUCAUUUAUAUGCAUUUCAAGGUUUGUCCAUUGUAUUGAGAAAGGUGUCAAGUUUAAAAUUAUACAAACAUUGUUCAAAUGCCUUCUUUAAGCUAAUUUCACAUUGGAAUUGAUGGCGAACAACCUCCUCGUGCACUAAAUCUUCAGUUAUUAUCAGGGCAUUUUGUUUAAUAAUUUGCAGGAGAUUUAACCUAUUUUUACUAUGGAUGUUGUCAAGGAAUUCCUUGAAAUUGAAAGUUCAAUUAAUUGUUAAUAAAUUUGUAAUUGGAAUAGUUCCAAAAUAUAUUAUUAUAAAUUAUAAAAGGAAGUCUAAUUAUUUAGUGUUAAUCCAUGUAUAUUUGAAGAUAAUUUUGUACUUACAAUACUAGUAAAACAUAACAUAAAUGAUUGAUUUCAACUUAAAUAUUUUCCCCAUUGAUACCUUUGAUUUAUAAAUGCUGUAUUAAAUUUUUAUAAAAGUCAAAAAGUCUAGAAAAGAAUAGUUAAAACAUGGGGUUCCUUUAUUACUAAUAAAUUAUAUUAGCAUGCAAUGUAAUCAUUUGGAAGAUAAAAUUUUACACAAACAA